AACGAGGUCUGGUUUCCAGAAAUGGGCACUAUUUCCGGACGAUGUUUGUAGAGGGGCGGCUGCUGGGCUGGCGGACUGACAGAAGGCGGAGGCGCCUCGGGUGUUGGUGGAACCACACAUGCGCCCUCGGCUUCUGGCAGUCUUACCGGCUGCGUUCUUCUCGAGGUUACGGGAAGGAAGGGCGAGUGUGCGCAUGCGUGGGCACUCCCAGCCUCUGACUUCGGUUACCUUGGAGACAGCGAGGCGCUCUCCCUCGUGGGUCGUGCGCAUUCCGCUUCGUCUCUGCAGCCAGGCGGUGGCGGCUGAGGCGGGAGCUGGUAGGGGUAGAGACGUUUUUACUGAACUCUUACUGUGUGUCUGAUGCUGUAGAGUUCCUGGAAUGAGUAAAGAAGGUUACAGUGUCUGCCCUCGAGAAGCUUGGGGAGCCAAAGGCCUAGAUGGGCCCUACCUGUGGGUUGUAACCCAGGUACAAAGAGAGCGUGUGGGUGCGUGGUACACCCCUUCCACCGCCGGAGAGGCAGCGUGGUACGAGCGCUGAGCAAAGCAUCUGCUCGAUGGGUUUGCGACCACAAAGGCGGCAAGAGGCUGAGAGCUUAAUGUAUGCAAAGAAAGGACCUGGAGUUCGGAAUAUGCAUCGAGGCCGGGCGUGGUGGCUCAGUCCUCCCAGCGCUUUGGGGGGCCAAGGCAGGAGGAUCUCUUGAGGCCAGGAGUUGGAGAACAGCCUGGGCAAUAUAGCAGAGAUCACAUCUAUGCAAAAAAUAAAAGAAUAAGCGGGUCAUGGUCGUUCGCACCUGCAGCCCCAGCCAGAGAGGAGGCCGAAGCCGGAGGAUUGCUUGAGCCCAAGAGUUUGAGGCUACAGUGAGCCAUGAUCGUGCCAUUGCACUCCAGCCUGGGUAACAGAGUGAGGAAGUCUUUAAAAUAAAUCAAAACUUAAAUUUUUUUGUUUGCAAAAUAAAAGAUGUGCUCCUA
Molecule: non-coding RNA, 969 nt
Organism: Callithrix jacchus (white-tufted-ear marmoset)
Lineage: Eukaryota; Metazoa; Chordata; Mammalia; Primates; Cebidae
Source: RefSeq, a predicted model, not a curated record